CACGUAGGGGGCGAGCGUUGUCCGGAAUUACUGGGCGUAAAGGGCGCGCAGGCUGUUAUGCGAGUCUGCUGUGAAAUGUACCGGCUCAACCGGUGCCUUGCGGCGGAUACUGCAUAGCUGGAGUACUGGAGAGGGAAGUGGAAUUCCCGGUGUAGCGGUGAAAUGCGUAGAGAUCGGGAGGAACACCAGUGGCGAAGGCGGCACUCUGGUCUAUACCUGACGCUGAGGCGCGAAAGCCAGGGGAGCAAACAGGAUUAGAUA
RNAcentral lists this ribosomal RNA (261 nucleotides) under uncultured prokaryote. RNAcentral's name for it is "partial 16S ribosomal RNA". It matches the Rfam family "Bacterial small subunit ribosomal RNA", at positions 524 to 784 of the family's 1533-position model. The record is from RNAcentral.